UCUCUGGUGGCCUAGUGGCUAAGGAUUUGGCAUUGUCACUGCUGUGGCUCAGGUUUGAUCCCUGAUCUGGGAG
This 73-nucleotide transfer RNA is filed under the name Sus scrofa (pig). It matches the Rfam family "tRNA". From Rfam's summary of the family: Transfer RNA (tRNA) molecules are approximately 80 nucleotides in length. Their secondary structure includes four short double-helical elements and three loops (D, anti-codon, and T loops). The record is from Rfam by way of RNAcentral. Lineage: Eukaryota; Metazoa; Chordata; Mammalia; Artiodactyla; Suidae.